AAGUAACGAUAAAGGGGGUGAGAAACCCCCUCGCCGCAAGACUCAGGUUUCCUGAUCAACGCUAAUCGGAUCAGGGUCAGUCGGGUCCUAAGGCUCAGCCGAACGGCGAGGCCGAUGGCAGAACCGGUUAAUAUUCCGGUACUACCCUUUAGGGUGACGUGGAGACGCAGUCGUGACAAUGCCGCCAGCUGACGGAAUAGCUGGUUAAAGGGUGUAGAAUUUGAUUGUGGCAGGCAAAUCCACCACAAGAUUCGAACCUGACAGUAUGGAGCGUCCUUCCGGACAAUCCAAUAGUGCAUGUAAUCAUACUGCCAAGAAAAUCCGCUAAACAUAACCUUCAGGGUACCCGUACCGCAAACGGACACACGUAGUCGGGUUGAAUAUACUAAGGCGCUUGAGUGAUUCACGGUUAAGGAACUAGGCAAAUUAACCCUGUAACUUCGGGAAAAAGGGUCCCUACCCGUUAUCGGGAGGGCGCAGAGAAUCGGUCCAGGCAACUGUUUAACAAAAACACAGGGCUGUGCGAAGUCGAAAGACGCUGUAUACAGCCUGACACCUGCCCGGUGCUGGAAGGUUAAGAGGAGAUGUCAUCGCAAGAGAAGCAUUGAAUUGAAGCCCCAGUAAACGGCGGCCGUAACAAUAACGGUCCUAAGGUAGCGAAAUUCCUUGUCGGGUAAGUUCCGACCUGCACGAAUGGUGUAAUGAUCUGGACACUGUCUCAACCGUGAGCUCAGUGAAAUUGUAGUAUCGGUGAAGAUGCCGAUUACCCGCGAUGGGACGAAAAGACCCCGUGAACCUUUACUAUAGCUUAUCAUUGAAUUUGGGCACGUGAUGUGUAGGAUAGGUCGGAGGCUUUGAAGCAGGCACGCCAGUGUUUGUGGAGCCGCUGUUGAAAUACGACCCUUCAUUUGUUUGAGUUCUAACUCGUGAAACGAGGACACUGAUUGGUGGGUAGUUUGACUGGGGUGGUCGCCUCCAAAAGUGUAACGGAGGCUUCUAAAGGUGCCCUCAGACCGAUUGGUAACCGGUCUCAGAGUGUAAUGGCAUAAGGGCGCUUGACUGGGAGACUAACAAGUCGAGCAGGUAGGAAACUAGAGCAUAGUGAUCCGGUGUUUCCGCAUGGAAGGGACAUCGCUCAAAGGAUAAAAGGUACUCCGGGGAUAACAGGCUGAUCCCUCCCAAGAGCUCAUAUCGACGGAGUGGUUUGGCACCUCGAUGUCGGCUCGUCACAUCCUGGGGCUGGAGAAGGUCCCAAGGGUUGGGCUGUUCGCCCAUUAAAGUGGCACACGAGCUGGGUUCAGAACGUCGUGAGACGGUUCGGUCUCUAUCUAUCGUGGGCGUAUGAAAUUUGCGUGGCUCUGACACUAGUACGAGAGGACCGUGUUGGACAGACCUCUGGUUUACCGGUUGUGCCGCCAGGUGCAUUGCCGGGUAUCUAAGUCUGGAUCGGAUAAGUGCUGAAAGCAUCUAAGUACGAAGCCGGCCACAAGAUUAGAUUUCUCAGGGUCGUUGUAGACUACAACGUUGAUAGGAUGCAGGUGUAAAGAUGGAGACAUCAAAGCCGAGCAUUACUAAUUGCCC
This 1581-nucleotide ribosomal RNA is filed under the name metagenome. RNAcentral describes it as "bacterial LSU rRNA". It matches the Rfam family "Bacterial large subunit ribosomal RNA", at positions 1304 to 2911 of the family's 2925-position model. The record is from RNAcentral.